Molecule: long non-coding RNA, 228 nt
Filed under: Homo sapiens (human)
Lineage: Eukaryota; Metazoa; Chordata; Mammalia; Primates; Hominidae
Description: non-protein coding lnc-NPIPB4-5:11
Source: RNAcentral
UAGACAGGAAGAGGGCUGAGGUCCAUUUGUAUGCACACAAAGAAAAGAGUUUCUUCCUUUCGAGGAAAUAAAAUUGUCCUGAAAGACGUCAUUACUCUACGGAGACAUGUGGAAACAAAAGUUAGAGCUAAAAUCCGUAAGAGGAAGGUGGAUCUUUAAAGUUGAUGACAAGAGUUCCAGUCCUGAAUCAUGGCAAAGUGCAGUAGUGAACUGCGGGGUUAUUCUGGA